This 261-nucleotide ribosomal RNA is filed under the name Escherichia coli. Its description in RNAcentral is "partial 23S ribosomal RNA". It matches the Rfam family "Bacterial large subunit ribosomal RNA", at positions 2108 to 2368 of the family's 2925-position model. Lineage: Bacteria; Pseudomonadati; Pseudomonadota; Gammaproteobacteria; Enterobacterales; Enterobacteriaceae. The record is from RNAcentral.
AGCUUGACACUGAACAUUGAGCCUUGAUGUGUAGGAUAGGUGGGAGGCUUUGAAGUGUGGACGCCAGUCUGCAUGGAGCCGACCUUGAAAUACCACCCUUUAAUGUUUGAUGUUCUAACGUUGGCCCCUGAUCGGGGUUGCGGACAGUGUCUGGUGGGUAGUUUGACUGGGGCGGUCUCCUCCUAAAGAGUAACGGAGGAGCACGAAGGUUGGCUAAUCCUGGUCGGACAUCAGGAGGUUAGUGCAAUGGCAUAAGCCAGC